RNAcentral lists this transfer RNA (77 nucleotides) under Hyphomicrobiales bacterium. Its description in RNAcentral is "tRNA-Arg". It matches the Rfam family "tRNA". Rfam says of the family: Transfer RNA (tRNA) molecules are approximately 80 nucleotides in length. Their secondary structure includes four short double-helical elements and three loops (D, anti-codon, and T loops). Further hydrogen bonds mediate the characteristic L-shaped molecular structure. tRNAs have two regions of fundamental functional importance: the anti-codon, which is responsible for specific mRNA codon recognition, and the 3' end, to which the tRNAs corresponding amino acid is attached (by aminoacyl-tRNA synthetases). tRNAs cope with the degeneracy of the genetic code in two manners: having more than one tRNA (with a specific anti-codon) for a particular amino acid; and 'wobble' base-pairing, i.e. permitting non-standard base-pairing at the 3rd anti-codon position. The record is from RNAcentral. Lineage: Bacteria; Pseudomonadati; Pseudomonadota; Alphaproteobacteria; Hyphomicrobiales. RNAcentral also lists the same sequence under 3 other names.
GGUCCCGUAGCUCAGCUGGAUAGAGCAACGGAUUUCUAAUCCGUAGGUCAGAGGUUCGAAUCCUCUCGGGAUCACCA